Molecule: long non-coding RNA, 214 nt
Filed under: Ananas comosus (pineapple)
Lineage: Eukaryota; Viridiplantae; Streptophyta; Magnoliopsida; Poales; Bromeliaceae
Description: long non-coding RNA (ACOM_LNC030435)
Source: RNAcentral
ACCUCUUAAGCUUGCUCCAAUGGUGAGAGAGGAAGAAGAAGAUGACCAAGCCCUUCUCUAGCUUGCUUCUCCUUCUUCUCCAUCUUCUUCUCCUUCCUUUCCUUCUUCUCCUUCUUUUCCUUCUUCUCCUUCCUUUCUUUCAAGAAAGAGGGAGAGAGAGCUUAGAGAGAGAGAGAGAGAGAGGGUGUGUGUUUGGGUGAGAAAUGAGGGAGGG